AAGAUGCUACUCAGCCCUGAGGAGGCUGAGGGAGCUAAGGGUUGAGUAGUACAGAGCUCUGUCACUUACUCGCUGUGUCACCUCUGGCAAGUGGCUCAGCUGUGAGUGGCUUUUGCUUCCCUCCUCUCUGAAACAAGCAAGGAGCCCUUCCAUGUGUCUCUGUGUGCUGUUGGGAUGGAAGUGAGCCAACAGUCAGCACUCAGUCAGUGUCAUUCUGGAGUGAUGGUUAGAGUCUGACGUUCUCAACGAGGACGAGGGUGGCUUUGUUCUGAAAUGCGCUCUGGUCUUGACCAGACUGUGCCUGGAACACUCUGCGGAAAGUCAAGGACGUUAGGCAGGGCCACACUGUGGACUGCUGGGAUCAGACCAGAUGAUCGUCGAAGAGCCCAAGCUACUGACCACCAAGGAACAAGAUGUGGGUGCAGUGGCAAAUUGUUGUACUGUGACUUUCUGUAUCUGGCUGAGACCCAUCCACUUUACCACUCUGCCACGAACAGUGUAUCCUCCCAGGCCCAGUAAAUGGGAGGACAGAGACUCAUCUCCAAGGGGCUCAUGUCCGUCAAUCCUGAAGGAGCACUUUUGGGUGACAAUGUAAUUAGUAUAAUUACAACACUAUUAAAUCUUGAUCUUCCUGCUUUUGUUCUUCCCUUCCUCUAUAUCCCCUCCCCCUUUCUUCCUGUCUUUUUUUUUUGUUUGUUUGUUUCAACACCAGGCUUCACAUAACCCCAGCUGGCUGCAAACUCACUGUGUAGCCCCAUGUGAUGUCCCUGAACUCUUUGAUCCUUUAAGCUCCACCUCCAAAUACUGGGAUUGCAGGUAUGUACCAUUCUGUGCAGUUAAAUCCACAUUUUCUAGUUCACUCACCUGGACUGAAGUCUGGCGGGGAGUACACUGCAUAUACUUUGUGUAGUUCACAUUGCUUAAAGGAUUCUCAGAUCUGCUGGGAUGCUGUCUGCCCAUCACAUGUACACAAGAGAUUAUUUUUUAAAAAUCCUUUGGGACUUUCUGUUGAUUGAGUGAGUGGCUUUAUCCAGGACAAUAUUCUUCUGAUCUGGACCAGAUGUCUUCUGAGAUCGUUCUCAGUGUAAAUAUCAGUGACACUCUGACAUUCAUUAAUUCAUCUUGAAUAAAAGACAAGAAGUUGCUUUCUGUAUUUUUUUUUUUUACUAUUAUAUGUAAAGUACACUGUAGCUGUCUUCAGACACUCCAGAAAAGGGUGUCAGAUCUCGUUAUGGAUGGUUGUGAGCCACCAUGUGGUUGCUGGGAUUUGAACUCCGGACCUUCGGAAGAGCAUUCGGGUACUCUUGCCAACUAAGCCAUCUCACCAGCCCACUUUCUGUAUUUCUUAAUGGUUGAGGCUUUAACUUACAUAAGAAACCACAAGGAAGGCCUAUAUUCCUAUAUGUAAACAGGACUUCAAGCACCACGGCCCUUCCCAGAACAGGUGGGUUGUAUUUUCUGUUUGGCCUGUCACGUGGUAUUUAUCUUCUGUUCAGUCACUCCGAGCUAGCAUCCCUUCUCUGUCUUCUUCAAACUCCACACACCUAGCUUCUGUAACCCCGUGAGAGUCCCUCUGUAGAUGCGUCUUAUUUCUGUUCUCUUUUGUUUUGUUUUCUUGGUUUUUCUUUUUUUAUUAUUUUUAUUUAUUUAUUUAUUUGGUUUUUCGAGACAGGGUUUCUCUGUGUAGCCUUGGCUGUCCUGGAACUCACUCUGUAGACCAGGCUGGCCUUGAACUCAGAAAUCCAUGUGUCUCUGCCUCCCAAGUGCUGGGAUUAAAAGGCAAGUGCCACCACUGCCCAGCUCUGUUCUCUUUAGUAGGAGCAGAUGAGGCAUCAUGUACCAUUAUGCCCAGCUUGUCCUGUGAGUUCACUGUUCUUUCCCUGCCUACAUUCUUUCUUUGGUCUCACUUCUUCUGUAUCUUACACAAAAGUCUCAUUUGUCUCAGCUUUGCAGCUAGAAUAGCUAAACGUAAUCAGAUCUGGAGACAUGUUUGCCAGCCACCACAAUGGUUUGUUACAAGUUGGGAA
This 2027-nucleotide long non-coding RNA is filed under the name Mus musculus (house mouse). Its description in RNAcentral is "long non-coding RNA chr3:145625496-145627523". Lineage: Eukaryota; Metazoa; Chordata; Mammalia; Rodentia; Muridae. The record is from RNAcentral.